AUAGCGGCGGCGCGCCUGCUACGGCAAGCCGGAGGGACGGGCGCCCGCGCCGCAGCUGCGCGCUGGCGGCCGGCGUGACGUCAGCGGGCGCGAGGCAUCGAGACGGCCUGGCGGGCUAGAGAGGCCGGGCGAGGGCGAGGGCGUGGGCCGACGGGCCGGCGGCGGACCGAGCCCUGGAGCACAGCCGCCCAGCCGCCCGUCGCGAUCGGAGUGACUUCUCCGCCGGGAGUCUACGGUCUGGGAGACCGAGGACAGAGCUAGGCGGCUGUGACCAGGAUGGAGGCCAGGAGCUGGAGAGGGCCAGCUGGACAGAGACAAGGCCUUCCUCCCGCCCAGGGGGCCUCAGUGCUGGGCCGCCUGUCCGGCUCCCGCUGCACACAGCCGAGGCCCGUCCUGGGGUAUCGAGGCCGCGUCCUGGGAAGAACCCCUACUGUCCUACUGCCUGCUGGCUCUCUACCCCAGAGCCGCCGAAGCACGUCCCGUACGCACACUGGCAAAAGGAAAAGAAAGAACCGAAAAAGGGGAAGGAGUGACAAAGCAAAGCUUGUAUCUAUUUAAUAAGAAAAUCAUUUCUUUAAAAAAAUAGUGUCUUUCCAC
Pipistrellus kuhlii (Kuhl's pipistrelle) is the source of this 597-nucleotide long non-coding RNA. RefSeq lists it as uncharacterized. The record is from RefSeq and is a predicted model, not a curated record. The transcript is spliced from 2 exons. Lineage: Eukaryota; Metazoa; Chordata; Mammalia; Chiroptera; Vespertilionidae.